Molecule: RNA transcript, 8120 nt
Organism: Balaenoptera musculus (blue whale)
Lineage: Eukaryota; Metazoa; Chordata; Mammalia; Artiodactyla; Balaenopteridae
Gene: PFKFB2
Gene name: 6-phosphofructo-2-kinase/fructose-2,6-biphosphatase 2
Exons: 16
Source: RefSeq, a predicted model, not a curated record
CGGAGCCAGGCAGGGGCACGUGAUUCGCCGGAGACUGGUGUGCCGGACCCCGGCCACCGUGUCGGCUCCUGGCUAUCGCGUUACCGGACGUCCCCUGAAGAGCUGCCAUGUCUGGGAAUUCUGCCCCUUCCUCAGAACAGAACAACAACAACUAUGAAACCAAAACAAAUCUCCGAAUGUCAGAGAAGAAAUGUUCGUGGGCAUCCUACAUGACCAACUCCCCAACCCUCAUUGUUAUGAUUGGCUUACCAGCCCGGGGCAAAACCUACGUGUCCAAGAAGCUCACACGCUACCUCAACUGGAUUGGGGUGCCCACCAAAGUGUUUAAUCUUGGGGUGUAUCGGCGUCAAGCGGUCAAGUCCUAUAAGUCCUAUGACUUCUUCCGGCAUGACAACGAGGAGGCCAUGAAGAUACGCAAACAGUGUGCUCUGGUGGCGCUGGAGGAUGUGAAGGCGUAUCUCACAGAGGACAGUGGGCAGAUUGCGGUGUUUGAUGCUACCAAUACCACUCGAGAGAGGAGGGCCUUGAUUUUGAACUUUGCCGAGGAGAAUUCCUUCAAGGUGUUCUUUGUGGAAUCCGUCUGCGAUGAUCCCGAUGUCAUUGCUGCCAACAUCCUGGAGGUAAAGGUGUCGAGCCCUGACUACCCUGAAAGGAACAGGGAGAAUGUGAUGGAGGACUUCCUAAAGAGAAUUGAGUGCUACAAAGUCACCUAUCAACCCCUUGACCCAGACAACUAUGACAAGGAUCUUUCUUUCAUCAAGGUGAUAAACGUGGGCCAGCGAUUUCUAGUGAACAAAGUCCAGGACUACAUCCAGAGCAAGAUCGUCUACUACCUCAUGAAUAUCCAUGUCCAUCCUCGCACCAUUUACCUUUGCCGGCACGGAGAGAGCGAGUUCAAUCUCUUGGGGAAGAUUGGGGGUGACUCAGGCCUCUCGGUGCGGGGAAAACAGUUUGCCCAGGCUCUAAGGAAGUUUCUGGAGGAACAGGAGAUAGCAGACCUCAAAGUGUGGACAAGUCAGUUGAAGAGGACUAUCCAGACCGCUGAAUCUCUGGGGGUGACCUAUGAGCAGUGGAAGAUUCUGAAUGAGAUUGAUGCUGGCGUGUGCGAGGAGAUGACUUAUGCGGAGAUAAAGGAGCAGUACCCAGACGAGUUUGCGCUUCGAGAUGAAGAGAAAUAUCUGUAUCGAUAUCCUGGAGGGGAGUCGUACCAGGACCUGGUGCAGCGGCUGGAGCCUGUCAUCAUGGAGCUGGAGCGUCAGGGCAACGUCCUCGUCAUCUCCCACCAGGCUGUCAUGCGCUGCCUCCUGGCCUACUUCUUGGACAAGGGUGCAGAUGAGCUACCGUACCUGAGGUGCCCUCUCCAUACCAUCUUCAAACUUACUCCUGUGGCCUACGGGUGCAAAGUGGAAACAAUUAAACUUAACGUGGAGGCUGUGAACACUCACCGUGACAAGCCAACUAACAACUUCCCCAAGAACCAAACCCCUGUAAGGAUGAGAAGGAACAGCUUUACGCCUCUGUCCAGUUCGAAUACAGUAAGGCGUCCAAGAAAUUACAGUGUUGGGAGCCGGCCCCUCAAGCCCCUCAGCCCUCUCCGUGCCCUGGACAUGCAAGAAGGGGCCGACCAGCCGAAGACCCAAGUCAGCAUUCCGGUGGUGUAACCUUGUGUCUCCCUCCCGUCCUGGCCUCCUGCCCUUGUCACUAAUCACCAAGGAGUCAUUUAACUUCCAACUCCCACCCCCCCACCCCCGCCCCAGCCCCACACCAUGGGUCUUAGCAGAGAAUGUGAGGUCAUGUGUUUCCAGACCAACCUUAGCUAGUGUAGGGUGUGAGACAUCUCCCUGCCCAGGGGCAAGCUGGCGAGUUGGGUGUUUUAGGACAGGUCCUCAGUUGGGGGUGUCUGGAGGAGGAGGAAAAGGGAUCCACUCUCCUGGGGUGAUUGGCAGAGCUGGGGCUGAGGCUUAGCUGUGGUUCCUGUCUGACCACGGUGUCUAAACUCACUAAUGUCCUUGUGUUGGUAAAGUGGGGGCAGGGUGGAGGGGGACACAGAAGCCCAUUUCCCUUCCACCUUUGUCUCUUCCAGGUGUGCUUUACUCACAGUCCUGACCUGCCUGCUUUCUUCCCCCCUCUCAUGUCCCCUUUGGAUUGCCCAGUGUGAUGCAUGGCAUUGUUGUGUGUCUGUCUAGGAGGGAAGGGGCGGUGGGUGGGAGAGAAGUCUGGCCUCCGUUGAUGUUCUCUGCAGUCGGCCUAGAUGGAUCUGGACUGGGGGAGCCUUUCUUUUCCCUUCUCCCUGCCUCUCAAGCCAGGUCCUAUAAGGGUCAGCCCAGGCUACAGAACAUCCACAGAAGCUCUGGAGCCUGCAGGUAGACAUAGGAUGAGAGUUCUUGCCUCCUUUCAUGAGAAACAAUCCUAAAGUCUUCAAUACCCUGGGGGAAGCUGGCUUUCAGUCUGUGUGAAAUAUCUUGGUUUGUAUUUUUCAGACAUAGGUCUCUGGGCUGCAGAGGGGUGAGGUCUCUGGGCUGCGGAGGGGUAAGGUUUUGGAGAGUAGGCUGGCCUCUAGCUCUUACAGGCCUCUUGGAGGAGUGUCAUACAUUUUCUCCAGUGGCUCCUGGCUUCUUUGCCAACUACAGGAACUUUCCUGCCAAAGCCAGUGACCUCCGGGACUGUUCAGAAGGACAGAGUUAGAUUCAGGAGUCACCACUGAGGUUUGAAUUGCUCAAGGGAAAGGCAGAGAAGAGUUCACUAGAGCUGCUAGUGAACUAGUAAUUUUCAACACAUUCUAGUAAUUCUCAACACAGUCUCCUUUUUAAGUUAAAAAAGUUUUUGCGUGAGCAGUUUUUUUCCCCAGAUAUUGGGAAAGCCUGGUGACAAAUUAAAUCCCCCUCACUAGGGUAUUAUUUUAUCUCAUCUUGAUGUCCAGAGUAGUCUUGGAAUCCUGUGGGGUCUAGCUCUUGACUGUUUACGCAUUUACUUGUGUCAUUUUAUUUUUUCUGCAAGAUUAAAUAGGAAUUGUUUAGAGUAGGGAUUCUUAGCCCCUUGGUGGCCCACGAUGGCAUACCUCCCCCAAUUUUGUAUACAAAAUAUAUGAAUAUACGUAUGUGCAUUUUUCUGAGAGGCAAGUCUAGAGUUCUCAUGAGAUUUUUAAAAGAGAGAGAGGACCCCGCACCUUAAAGUUAUCAAUCUGUCUCUUAGAGGUGACCAGUGAGAGCAAGUUAGCUAUUUGCCAGGGAUGUUUUUGUUUGGUAAUAGGAGACCUUUUGUUGUGCUUCUCAUCUAGGAGUCUUCAUUAGAAUCCCCUAUAGAACUUUUGAAACAUGCACAUGCCUGUGUUCACUCUAGGCUUAAUUCUGACUCAUUCUCUGGGAUUACGGUCUGGGCAUGCAUGUGUUUAAAUAGCUUCUCUGAUGAUUCUGAAUCAUACUCCAGGUUAGAACUCUAUUUUAUGUUGUUGGGUGGAGAAACAGUAGUUCCUUGGACCAAGCGUCAACCUGGGAAUUCUGAAUUCCUCAUGGUUUUGAAAGGACAGUUCCCUGGAGUUAGAUGUGUGAGCAGAUCACAGUAUUGAAUGAAGUUACCCCCUCAUUGUUACUUCAGGAAGCAACCUGUUCCGGCUUUAACACUUUACAUUGCAGGGUGAUGUGGAACAAAUCACUAUGUCAUAUAAACGUCCUAUGAUAAUAGCUGAGAAUUUUAAGCACCCUGGAGAGAGGUACUGAGAUAAAACUUGUGGGAUGAUAAAGGUUAUCAUCACAGGCAGCUGGCUUGUGACCUUGAGUCCUUUAUUGCUGCAUCCUGAGUAGGACAUCACAGCCAAUUUCAAAGGCCACUUGCCUAGAUUCUGCUCGAAAUUGCCUUCCAGACAUAAGGUAACUUCCUAUUCCUGUUUAGCCAUUAUAUAAUGUGUACCUAGUGUCCAUGUUUGUGGGGCUUUGGGCUGGGUGGAGUGGUGGUGGGAGAAGGAGACACCGAAGCAGGAGAAAAAGUCCUUGCCCUGAAAAAGGUUAUUUUAGAGAAAGAGCAUAUAAUUUAUAAUAAAUGAACAUUUGUGAAAGAGCAACACAUUGAGUCAGUAAAUGUGGAUGUCCAAAUGGAGUAGAGAUUCCUUCUGACUUUUCUCUUGUCCUACAUGUAUGAGACUAAAAGGGUUGGGAGUGGGAAUGUCCCCCAGAAUGAUGUGGUCUAGGAGGUUUGUGUGGCACUUUUACAAGGUUGUCUUGUCUAGCUUUGCUUGGCUGGUGGCAUCUUUAGCCCAAAUGGACAUUCAGUCUUUUCUCUUGCCGUGAGGUGAGAGUGAUUCAGAACUAAUGCAUGAGAAGGAGCAUUUUGAUCCAAGUUGUGACUUUGGGCUGUAUAUACUCCUAGCGAGAAGAGAAUUCUCUAACAAACUAGCAUUGUAUUACCUUGUUAUAAACCCCUGCAUUAGACACAGGGCACUGGGCUGUUCAUUUGGGCUCUCAGCCUGCUGAUAUUUUGCCAUUCUCCCCACGUGUUAGUUUGCUUCCCCAAGAAGAGGAGCAUGAGGUGGUCUUAUUAUUCUUAGAUUGGACAUGAGAAAUUAGAACUUGACAACAGCAAGGAUUUCAGCGUUGUUUGGUUUUUAGAGCAAGAUCCCUCCAGAGAAGUUUCAGCAGAAAGGAGUCAGGAGAGCAUAGAAUAGAAUAGAGCUCUCAUUCCACAUUUUAGAGAAGUCCUGUUCCCUAUCUUUUCUUUCCUGUCCUCCUCUCCCCUUCUUAUUUGAGUGUGUGUUGGUAGUAUAUACACCUUACUCUGAUUAUGUGUCUAUCACAAAUGCUAGUAAGAAAGGAUGAACUCCAGAGUACCUUUUGCUGAGGCUUUCAGCUGUGUUAUGGGAGAAAUAGGUGAAGGCUUUAGCAUUUAAUCUACUGGUAGAAAAUUAGGAAAGGAAAAAUCACUGUAUUAUCUUUGAUAAUCACUGAUUAUCUUUUUCCUGCUUUAAAACUAAAUGAGGAAUUCCGUGACAGAUAUGAAGAGGAAUCUAAAGCAGAUUUAGACAACUAGCUUCUUUUCCUAUCUCUUAAUCCUUAAAUUGGAAUUUGGCUCAUAUUUAUUAUCUGUAUUGUUUUUGCUCUUGUUUUGGUAAGGAGAUUGUUUUGCAUUCAGUUGGAAAGUAGAAUAAGAAAAUCUGUUACAAUCACGCAUUGUGCCAGGGGUCUGCCCCAUAUCCUUAACUCUGGUUUUUGAUUUUUUGUGUUUUUUUGUCCAUCCCCCACCUGCUCACUAACUCCCAAGAAGUUAGGGUUAGGAGCACAAGAUAUUUGUAUCCUAGACUGAACGGUUGAGUGUUUCCUGUGAGGAUCUGGGUGUUCCUCUUUGCAACCCACAUUUGAUCUUUAGAGACACUGACAUUUUGAAGAAACAUGAUACAGCUGUUUGGAAAUAAAUCCAUCUUAUGGUGUAUCUGUGAGUAGAAGAUCUGAGUACCAGAGAAACUCACUGAUGCUUGGGGUAGCCAAAGGACAAGGGGAAUAAGUGCCUAAUAAUUGAGGGAACUCUAUCUGGGUUGUAUAGUCUUACGCACAUUCCAUUGUCUUUGUUAAGCCCAGAGGCCAUGUUGUGUUUGUUUUCCAGAAAUUUGAUAACUUUACAUAGGUUUUCCGGUAUACAUUUUGACUUGUGUUUUAAAAUAUUUUAAUUUGAAUUAAAUAAUUUUAUUGGAAUUAAAUAUUUUAAUUUUAAUUUGAUUCACAAUUGAAUCAGGUUGCAACAUUGGCAGGAUUGAUCUCUGACUUCCAAUCGAGGUGACACAGACAUCAGAAGUAUGUCCAGGAAUUUAAUUUAGACUCAUCAUGUCUAGAACACUGUAUCUAGAAGUAUCUAUAUGCUGACUGCCUGACAGACUGUGGUAGGGUCCGCAUGCUGCCUGACAGAUUCUGGUAGGGUCCCUAUGCUGAGUAACCAACAGGCUCUACUAAGAUCUGUAAGCUGACAAGUCUGACUGUUUUCUAAUUGUACCAGUUGACACUGUAUGCAUGUUACUACAAUUCUCUGUCUAUUGUACAUGUCCUACAAAGAAAGGAAGUAACCACUCCACAUGUUUUCUUUAGGGGGAAGUUCUAUACACUAUGAUUUUUAAUAGAUACUUCUUUUAGAGUAGCAGCCAAAUUCUAAUCAUUUUGUAGAAAAUGAAGUUUGAACAUCACUUGUAAGUUAUUUUGUAAACUCAGCUAAGGAAAUGCCUGCUCAGAGCCUGACACUGUUACCUCUACUUGAAGUCAUCCUAUCCAUUCCCCCAUUUCUGGGCAGGACUUCCACUUUCUGAACUUUCUGUGUCCUCAGCUUCCCUGCUAUGGGCUGUAGCAUUCCAUUGGAUAAUGCUGCUGUUUUUAGUCCGCUACCCAUUUGCCUCUUAAUUAUAAUAUAAUCAAUAAAAAUGCAAAGGAAAUUUUGGCAAAAGUAUUCUUUUCAGUAAGGCUUUCACUGGGGAUCCAUGACCAAUUUUUACCUACUCAGUGUUUUUUAUAUCUGAAUUGCUUGUGUACAUUUUUUUUUUCUUGUGUUGAAGUAACAAAAUCAAUUCAUUCUGAUAUGGUGAUAGUUUUGCUGUGGCAAAAGCAAAGGACUUGUCACCAGCUGUGCCCUUUGGAAGGAUUGGGAGUGGGCUCAGCACCACUGGGUUAAAUGGAAUGGACUGAGUUGGGAACCGAAGCAGUAGAGCUAUCCUGCAUGUUUCCUAGGCACAGCUGUGUUGAAAGAAGGAAUGUUAAUCCUUAGCAGCAUUCUAAUUUAAUCUGGUGACAUUGAUGUCAAAAUAUGACACUCAGAUCCACAUAAGGCGGAGACCUCGCUGGCUGUGCAUAGGCUCUCCUCUCCGGCCUCCCCCACAUUGCUCUUCUGAUGAUGUGAAGGCUGAGGCCAGACCUCUCCGGGAGACUGGCCUACUGAAAAACUUGGCAUGUCAGCUCCAAAGGGGCUUGAGCAGGAAGUUCAGUGGGGAUUGGACAUUCGGGGCCACCCAAAUGAGCCCUGAAAAAGUUGCACCACAUUUCUUCCCCUCAUGCCUAAUGGGAAUAUCAGUUACACUGAAAAACUUGACUUCCCUGUGCCUCAAAACAUUUCACAGCCUGAACCAAUUUCGUUUUGAUCAUCUCUUUGUUAGGUUUGGCCCAAGUUGGUCAAUCCUGUUCCAUUUUGGCAUUUAACAUCUGACCUGUGACUGUAUCCCUAGCUGGCUUUCUUUGCCUAAUGUGCAAAUGUACCUCUUCAGAUUUAAUUGUUUCCAAGUGAGAGGGCUGAACUCCAGCAAACCAUUUCUGUGCUGUAAGAGCUGGUCUCUACAUCCACUCCAAGUGCGCAGGCUAGGGUACAAUAUGCAUAGCUUUGCGGUCACUUUUUUGUCACAUUGGAAACGAGACAAAUUCACCAGGUGAAUGGAGGGUAUCUGAGAAAUUCAGUCCCUAAAACGUCUCUUCUGCGGUGACGGAAGAGCGGCAUCAGUAGCAACCUUUUUGUUUAGAGAAGUUUUUCUUGUUUCAGGCCCCUUGAAGGCAGGAUCUGACUACAAGACUCCACAAAAUAUGUACCUUUCUUCUGAGUUCUCUUUUGUAGCUACUGUAUUUUCUACCUGAUACUGUGUGCCUCUCAAAGCUGAAGAGGGCUGACGUCAUCCUCUCUGGUGGUUGGAAAUGAGGGCUGGAGAGAAAAGUAGGGUGCCAUUUGGAUCACAUGAAGAAGUAAAAGAAGUUUCCUUGGGAAUCGACUCGCCCAAGGAGUUCUUUUGGUUUCAGAACAGGUGCAGGGAGACAUGCCCUUCUGUGGGGUCUGCUACCGUGAUACGGUCUCUGAGAAAGCUGUGGUUAUGACUUCAAGAGCAUCUGGUCUUCUAAUCCCUUCCUCUUAGCUAAUUGUCACUAUUGUGGUCUACUGGUCUCUCAUGUAGAACCUUGGGGGAAUGGGAUGGGGGGGAACCAAGCCCUCAAUGCAUUAAUCAUGUGGUUUCCCUUAAAGAUAAACCAGGUAAUUAUUCCUUAGAUCAGUGAUUGUCAAAUAUACAAAUAUGUCCCUGCAGAUGCGAUUUUAAUAUGUCACUGCUCUUGAAGGAAGGCAUGGAAGCUCCCAAGGAUACUGUAUCUUACAAGCAAAAUCCUUUUUUUUUUUUUAAA